RNAcentral lists this ribosomal RNA (253 nucleotides) under uncultured bacterium. Its description in RNAcentral is "partial 16S ribosomal RNA". It matches the Rfam family "Bacterial small subunit ribosomal RNA", at positions 524 to 776 of the family's 1533-position model. The record is from RNAcentral.
UACGUAGGUGACCAGCGUUGUCCGGAUUUAUUGGGCGUAAAGAGCGUGUAGGCGGCCAUACAGGUCAGCUGUGAAAACUCGAGGCUCAACCUCGAGACGUCGGUUGAAACCGUUUGGCUAGAGUCCGGAAGAGGAGAGUGGAAUUCCCGGUGUAGCGGUGAAAUGCGCAGAUAUCAGGAGGAACACCGGUGGCGAAGGCGGGUCUCUGGGCCGAUACUGACGCUGAGGAGCGAAAGCGUGGGGAGCGAACAGG